CAAACACCGGUUACCAAUAUGAUGACCGAAGUUAAGCAACAUCAAGUUUGAUCAGUACUUGAAUUGGUGACCGCUUGGGAAUACCAGGUGCUGUAA
Molecule: non-coding RNA, 96 nt
Organism: Acanthosepion pharaonis
Lineage: Eukaryota; Metazoa; Mollusca; Cephalopoda; Sepiida; Sepiidae
Source: the annotation of a GenBank genome assembly